GACGAACGCUGGCGGCGUGCUUAACACAUGCAAGUCGAACGGAAAGGCCCUGCUUUUGUGGGGUGCUCGAGUGGCGAACGGGUGAGUAACACGUGAGUAACCUGCCCUUGACUUUGGGAUAACUUCAGGAAACUGGGGCUAAUACCGGAUAGGAGCUCCUGCUGCAUGGUGGGGGUUGGAAAGUUUCGGCGGUUGGGGAUGGACUCGCGGCUUAUCAGCUUGUUGGUGGGGUAGUGGCUUACCAAGGCUUUGACGGGUAGCCGGCCUGAGAGGGUGACCGGCCACAUUGGGACUGAGAUACAGCCCAGACCCCUACGGGAGGCAGCAGUGGGGAAUAUUGCACAAUGGGCGGAAGCCUGAUGCAGCAACGCCGCGUGCGGGAUGACGGCCUUCGGGUUGUAAACCGCUUUCGCCUGUGACGAAGCGUGAGUGACGGUAAUGGGUAAAGAAGCACCGGCUAACUACGUG
This 468-nucleotide ribosomal RNA is filed under the name uncultured bacterium. RNAcentral's name for it is "partial 16S ribosomal RNA". It matches the Rfam family "Bacterial small subunit ribosomal RNA", at positions 28 to 507 of the family's 1533-position model. The record is from RNAcentral.